AGUGGCGGACGGGUGAGUAACGCGUGAGAAUCUGCCUUGGGGUCGGGGACAACCACUGGAAACGGUGGCUAAUACCGGAUACGCCUUCGGGUAAAAGAUUUAUUGCCCUAAGAGGAGCUCGCGUCUGAUUAGCUAGUUGGUGAGGUAAGAGCUCACCAAGGCAGCGAUCAGUAGCUGGUCUGAGAGGACGAUCAGCCACACUGGGACUGAGACACGGCCCAGACUCCUACGGGAGGCAGCAGUGGGGAAUUUUCCGCAAUGGGCGAAAGCCUGACGGAGCAAGACCGCGUGAGGGAGGAAGGCUCUUGGGUUGUAAACCUCUUUUCUCAGGGAAGAAGCUCUGACGGUACCUGAGGAAUCAGCCUCGGCUAACUCCGUGCCAGCAGCCGCGGUAAUACGGAGGAGGCAAGCGUUAUCCGGAAUUAUUGGGCGUAAAGCGUCCGCAGGUGGCGAUUCAAGUCUGCUGUCAAAGCACGGGGCUUAACUCCGUAAAGGCAGUGGAAACUGAAUAGCUAGAGUGCCGUAGGGGUAGAGGGAAUUCCCGGUUUAGCGGUGAAAUGCGUAGAGAUCGGGAAGAACAUCGGUGGCGAAAGCGCUCUACUGGACGGCAACUGACACUCAGGGACGAAAGCUAGGGGAGCGAAUGGGAUUAGAUACCCC
This 660-nucleotide ribosomal RNA is filed under the name uncultured bacterium. RNAcentral describes it as "bacterial SSU rRNA". It matches the Rfam family "Bacterial small subunit ribosomal RNA", at positions 94 to 788 of the family's 1533-position model. The record is from RNAcentral.